GCCGGUGGGGUGGCCAGUGCCUGUAAUCCCAGCUACUCGGGAGGCUGGGGUGGGAGGAUCGCUUGAGCCUAAGAGUUCUGGGCUGUAGUGCGCCAUGCUGAUCGGGUGUCCGCACUAAGUUCAGCAUCAAUAUGGUGACCUCCCGGGAGCAGGGGACCACCAGGUUGCCUAAGGAGGGGUGAACUGGCCCAGGUCGGAAACGGAGCAGGUCAAAACUCCGGUGCUGGUCAGUAGUGGGAUGGCGCCUGUGAAUAGCCAUUGCAUUCCAGUCUGGGCAACAUAGCGAGAUCCCAUCUCA
Molecule: signal recognition particle RNA, 298 nt
Filed under: Cebus imitator (Panamanian white-faced capuchin)
Lineage: Eukaryota; Metazoa; Chordata; Mammalia; Primates; Cebidae
Description: Metazoan signal recognition particle RNA (ENSCCAG00000006238.1)
Rfam family: Metazoan signal recognition particle RNA
About the family: The signal recognition particle (SRP) is a universally conserved ribonucleoprotein.
Source: RNAcentral